Long non-coding RNA from Sardina pilchardus (European sardine), 445 nucleotides. RefSeq lists it as uncharacterized. Lineage: Eukaryota; Metazoa; Chordata; Actinopteri; Clupeiformes; Clupeidae. The transcript is spliced from 3 exons. The record is from RefSeq and is a predicted model, not a curated record.
AAGCUUUGUUACCUGUGACUUAUAGCUGCAGUGUUGUAGAGGAGUGAGCAGUAGCAUCUGGAGUUGUGGUUUGAGUGAAGACCUUGCAGUUGACCAUGAGUCUUGGUUUGAUGUUUAGGCUACCUUGGAUUUGCCUUUUCUUCUUGACUGAUGUAGGCCUAUGCAGUCCUCAAGUUCAAGAAAACCUAAAUUCCCAUCAGGAGAAACUCAUUCCUGUGUGGACUUUCGGUCCGGCUCAGGAGGAUCAGAAGUCCAAGACGGUUGAGGCUCCAGCCCAAGAGCGUCCAGCAUGGAUUCAUACUGCCUCAACAUGGAUCGAGAUGCCACCAGCUCCAGUGAGCCAGGAAGUUCAGGAACCCAAGGUGCCUGAAGCUCCAGCCCAAGAGCCCCCAGCAUGGGCCCAGAUGCGCCCAACUCGGAUCAUGCCUACAGCUCCAGUGACCCA